AACUUUUAUAAACCAGUGUUUUUAGUCCCUUAGGACAGACGUCAUGUAGGAAACAUUGUCAACAGUGUUUGUCCCUGAACAUUUUGGUUCAUGAAUGUUUAAAGCAAGGGUUUUUAGGCCCUCAAGACAGACAUGAUUAACAUUGUUUCCUACUUGGCAUUUGUCCUGAGGAACUAAAAGCAUUGAUUUUUAAAAGUU
This 198-nucleotide microRNA precursor is filed under the name Glycine max (soybean). RNAcentral's name for it is "miR4362 stem-loop (gma-MIR4362)". The record is from miRBase by way of RNAcentral. Lineage: Eukaryota; Viridiplantae; Streptophyta; Magnoliopsida; Fabales; Fabaceae.